AUUGAACGCUGGCGGCAGGCUUAACACAUGCAAGUCGAACGAUGAAGAUAUAGCUUGCUAUAUCGGAUUAGUGGCGGACGGGUGAGUAACACUUAGGAAUCUACCUUUUAGCGGGGGAUAGCUCGGGGAAACUCGAAUUAAUACCGCAUAAUUUCUACGGAAUAAAGAGGGCUUUUAGCUCUCACUAGAAGAUGAGCCUAAGUAAGAUUAGCUAGUUGGUGGGGUAAAAGCCUACCAAGGCGACGAUCUUUAGCUGGUCUGAGAGGAUGAUCAGCCACACUGGGACUGAGACACGGCCCAGACUCCUACGGGAGGCAGCAGUGGGGAAUAUUGGACAAUGGGGGCAACCCUGAUCCAGCCAUGCCGCGUGUGUGAAGAAGGCCUUUUGGUUGUAAAGCACUUUAAGCAGUGAAGAAGACCUAUUGGUUAAUACCCAAUAGCAAUGACAUUAACUGCAGAAUAAGCACCGGCUAACUCUGUGCCAGCAGCCGCGGUAAUACAGAGGGUGCAAGCGUUAAUCGGAAUUACUGGGCGUAAAGCGAGCGUAGGUGGUUAAAUAAGUCAGAUGUGAAAGCCCUGGGCUCAACCUAGGAACGGCAUCUGAAACUAUUUAACUAGAGUAGGUGAGAGGGAAGUAGAAUUUCAGGUGUAGCGGUGAAAUGCGUAGAGAUCUGAAGGAAUACCGAUGGCGAAGGCAGCUUCCUGGCAUCAUACUGACACUGAGGCUCGAAAGCGUGGGUAGCAAACAGG
This 750-nucleotide ribosomal RNA is filed under the name uncultured bacterium. Its description in RNAcentral is "bacterial SSU rRNA". It matches the Rfam family "Bacterial small subunit ribosomal RNA", at positions 28 to 776 of the family's 1533-position model. The record is from RNAcentral.